Long non-coding RNA from Canis lupus familiaris (dog), 3063 nucleotides. RefSeq lists it as uncharacterized. NCBI's taxonomy places the organism in Eukaryota, Metazoa, Chordata, Mammalia, Carnivora, Canidae. The transcript has 2 exons. The record is from RefSeq and is a predicted model, not a curated record.
AGGGCAGCCCUCAGCCUGGUGCUGUCCCCUAGGCGGGACCGAGCCCCAGAUAGGCGGGGCACCAGGAAGGGAGCGCGGGAAGCGCCUGGCGCUGCGCUGCAUCCAGCCGGAGAUGGGCUGCAACAGGAGGGCGCCAAAGGCGACGCGCCGGCGGCCAGCUGGUGGCCAAGCCCAGCGCGUCUGCGAAGCGGCCGAAUCACCACCGCGGGACCCAGAGCAGCGCGAGGACUCAACGCCAGGGCGCCGCCUAGAGGUCGGCCGCGGCCUCGGCUCCCCCGCCAGCGACAGCAGAGCGGCUUCCCCGUGGCGACCAGAAAUCCGGGUCAGAAAAAUCCAGCCUGGGUCUCAGGGAUGCGGCUUCCGGCACCUCAGACUGCUCUGAAAUCCACCCCUCCCGCAUAAGGAACCGUAGGAAAGGAAACGGAAGAAGAAGGCCCAGACAUAUUUAUUCUCCUUGUGACUCCAACUAAAUGGAAGUGUGUGUGUGUUGGGGGGGGGGUCUCCAUUUGGGUGUCUUUGAGAAUCCUGGGUUCUGCAUCUGAGUCUCUACUGCCUCCUCUCACCAUUCAGUGGCCAGUCCCCUUCAAUUAUGCUAGAACUCCGCUUUAUCUUCAAGGAGGGACAAAGUAGGGAAAAGUUGCCCCUAAAUCUUACAGCAUGCUCACCUACACUUUCUGAAUAAUUUGGAGAUCGCCAGCUUUGGGGAGAGUAUUCAGAAAACAUCUUAGGGUGAAAAGAAACAUUGCCUAAAUGGCCUUUAUUCACUGAGUGACCAUCAGUUCAACUAGUGUCUGAGUGGCAUUCAGGAGGGUGCCUGUUGGCACUAGCGCCUCUGUUGGUGGGUGUCUGUGCUGGGCAUUGAAAGUUGACUCAUUUGGGGCCAGGCCACCCCGGAAUAAGAAGGCUGGCUGGCAUCUAUGGGAAUGUAUUUGAGGGUGCAGUUCAGCCUCAUGCAGAGAGUUGUUUUUUAAAUGCAGAUCCAUGGCUAGGGAUCGGGGUAGGGAGAAGCUACAAAACCCUUGAAAAGUAUAUGCACGUCUUGCAUGUGCACAGAUCCAUCUGUUCUGUGGCCGUGGCCUCUUCAGAUUUUCUAGCAUCCAAGACUCUAAAAUGGUUCAAUCCCCUUUCCUCGGCCCGGGGAAUCAUGAGACCCAGGUCAGCAAUGGGCAGGGAGCCGGCAAACAGACCUGCCCCCAUUGCAGGCCUCUAGAGUGGGGCAGAGGGUGGGUAAUAACAGUCUUGAAUGGUGUGGAAACUACUGGCCUCCCAACCUAACAGCUCUCAGAGGCAACUCCUCAGAGGAGGGGUGACUGCUAGUAGCUGCCAUCACAGUAUUUUUUAAUAAAAAUAGAGCAUGAUAAAGAGUGAAAUGAGGGAGUUCGGGCACAUAAUAAGGAGGGAGCUGGAGGUGCCUCCUCAUGCAUAUCCUGGAAUAUGAAUAUUGGGAUGGAAACAAGCUACUUCCUGUCUUCCAGCUGUUAAUAAGCUCCCCCCUUCCUCCUCCUGGGGCAAGGAAGGACCCAGAGAGCACUACUCCCAACACGGACUGGCAGGGAUAGAGUGGGGCUGCCUUUCAAAAAAUUUUCAAACUGUAGACCAUAGUAUUUUCCCUACCCAUGCCAUUUUUUAUAACUUUAUUUUUUUAAAUUUUCUUUCUUUCUUUCUUUCUUUCUUUCUUUCUUUCUUUCUUUCUUUCUUUCUUUCUUUCUUUCUUUCUUUUCAAGUAAUCCCUAUGCCCAACGUGGGGCUCAAACUCACAACCCCGAGAUAAGGAGUUGCAUACUCUGUGGAAUGAGCCAACCAGGUGCUCCUGUCUUUUUUUAUCACUUUAAAAAGAAGUCGCCAGAAGUGGUUUUGGGGCCUUUUCUGGAAUGAGGGUCCGGCGUGGAGCCAGCAGGUCACACAGGGCCACACCUGUGUCCAUCUGGGAAGAAGGGGCUGUCAGUACACCAGACCCCCUCCAAGGUCUGCAGCCGGACCCAAGUCCUGGACCCAGCCCUGACUGAACCCGAUUUCAUCUUAGCCCUCCAACAACUCUUAGACCAGAAUCCUUGGUAUUUUUUUUGCUGAAUAACCGUGAGGCAUGAUCGAAUUCUUGGCUCUCCCACCCAGAAGUGUGCCUAAGCAGACCCCUCCAGGAGACAAAGUGAGCAGAAAAUCAACUUCACACCCACUUAUCUGGAGCCCGCAGUGAAAAGGGAUUUUCCGUGGUCUGGAUUCACCGCGGCCUGUCAGCGAUUCCAAAUCCGGAUUCCACAAAGUUUAGUAAAAAACAAAAAACCAGAAGCAAAACAAAAACAACAACGAACGAUCCAGUAGUGGAAAAGAACUAUAGGGAGGGCAGUGGAAGUGCCAGGUAGUGGUUGUUUUUGUUUGACUCGGAGGCUUUGAAGGAGCCGGACAGGAGCCGGUGGCAGAGCUCGGGCGACGCCAGUUUGGACACGACUCGGCGCUGGCCGUCACCUCCACUCUGGCCAAGACCGGCCUCUCGGUGUCUCUUCUGGGAGCCCCUGCCCUCGCUCAGCCCCUUUCAGGCCUUCUGAGCCUCUCUCCCCUUUGAGCAAGUACCUGGCAGUAAACGGGUGGGGCAGGGCAGAGGUCUGGCAGCUAGAGACCGAGGAGGAGAAAAUAAAAAACCCGCUUUCGGCGGAAAGAUGCAAAGAACCGAGGCCACAGGGCGUGGCCGGCAGAGCCCCGGCUCCGGCGGGGAAGGACGGGGCGUCUGGCUCCGCGGUGGCGACGAGCCCCGAGCCCCGGGAGCCGAGGGGGCUGUGCGUGGGGCUCGGAGAACUGUCAGCCUAGACGGUGGCUGCCGUCCUGGCCGCCGCGCUGGGCGACUCCCCGAGGAGGCGAGUCCCCGGCGGGCUCGGCCGAGGCAACGUCCCGGGGGCCGGCGGCCGAGGCGGCUUCUCCCCACGCGGACGCAGUCCGCUCGGGCGAAAGAAAGGGGCCGGGGCGCCUGCUUCGGCGGCUCGUAAAUUUGUUUCCCUUUCCUUUAACCCGCCCCCCGGCCGUCUUUCUUUUCAGGACAUGAGGGGAUGUAAACCAUUUGAAGUUCAUCAA